This 328-nucleotide ribosomal RNA is filed under the name uncultured bacterium. RNAcentral describes it as "bacterial SSU rRNA". It matches the Rfam family "Bacterial small subunit ribosomal RNA", at positions 28 to 355 of the family's 1533-position model. The record is from RNAcentral.
GACGAACGCUGGCGGCGUGCUUAACACAUGCAAGUCGAGCGGUAAGGCCCUUUCGGGGGUACACGAGCGGCGAACGGGUGAGUAACACGUGGGUGACCUGCCCUCAGCUCUGGGAUAAGCCUGGGAAACCGGGUCUAAUACCGGAUAUGACUCCAUGACGCAUGUUGUGGGGUGGAAAGCCUUGUGCGGCUGAGGAUGGGCCCGCGGCCUAUCAGCUUGUUGGUGGGGUGAUGGCCUACCAAGGCGACGACGGGUAGCCGGCCUGAGAGGGCGACCGGCCACACUGGGACUGAGACACGGCCCAGACUCCUACGGGGAGGCAGCAGGU